RNAcentral lists this ribosomal RNA (509 nucleotides) under SAR202 cluster bacterium. Its description in RNAcentral is "bacterial SSU rRNA". It matches the Rfam family "Bacterial small subunit ribosomal RNA", at positions 1 to 542 of the family's 1533-position model. Lineage: Bacteria; Bacillati; Chloroflexota; Dehalococcoidia. The record is from RNAcentral.
UUUAGAGAGUUUGAUCCUGGCUCAGGGUGAACGCUGGCGGCGCGCUUAAUGCAUGCAAGUCGAACGUGCCUUCGGGCAAGUGGCAGACGGCUGAGUAACGCGUGAGUAACACACCCUUCGGUGGGGUAUAGCCUCGGGAAACUGAGGGUAAUCCCGCAUACGAUCCCUAUGCUCUGGUGUAGGGAUGAAAGCCUUCGGGCGCCGGAGGAGUGGCUCGCGUCCUAUCAGGUAGUUGGUGAGGUAACGGCUCACCAAGCCGAUGACGGGUAGCUGGUCUGAGAGGACGACCAGCCAGAGGGGGACUGAGACACGGCCCCCACUCCUACGGGAGGCAGCAGCAGGGAAUUUUGGGCAAUGGGCGAAAGCCUGACCCAGCGACGUCGCGUGGGGGAUGAAGGCCUUAGGGCUGUAAACCCCUUUUCCAAGGGAAGAGGAAGGACGGUACCUUGGGAAUAAGCUCCGGCUAACUACGUGCCAGCAGCCGCGGUAAUACGUAGGGAGCGAGCGUU